Molecule: ribosomal RNA, 484 nt
Filed under: uncultured bacterium
Lineage: Bacteria
Description: partial 16S ribosomal RNA
Rfam family: Bacterial small subunit ribosomal RNA
Source: RNAcentral
AUUGAACGCUGGCGGCAGGCCUAACACAUGCAAGUCGAGCGGAUGAAGGGAGCUUGCUCCUGGAUUCAGCGGCGGACGGGCGAGUAAUGCCUAGGAAUCUGCCUGGUAGUGGGGGAUAACGUCCGGAAACGGGCGCUAAUACCGCAUACGUCCUGAGGGAGAAAGUGGGGGAUCUUCGGACCUCACGCUAUCAGAUGAGCCUAGGUCGGAUUAGCUAGUUGGUGGGGUAAAGGCCUACCAAGGCGACGAUCCGUAACUGGUCUGAGAGGAUGGUCAGUCACACUGGAACUGAGACACGGUCCAGACUCCUACGGGAGGCAGCAGUGGGGAAUAUUGGACAAUGGGCGAAAGCCUGAUCCAGCCAUGCCGCGUGUGUGAAGAAGGUCUUCGGAUUGUAAAGCACUUUAAGUUGGGAGGAAGGGCAGUAAGUUAAUACCUUGCUGUUUUGACGUUACCAACAGAAUAAGCACCGGCUAACUUCGUG